UUAUUUUUUUAGGAAUGUUGUUUUCAUAAUCCUCUUUUCUUUUUUUUUCCUAAUAUCAUUUUCCAAACCAAUUAUAAGAACUCAGCUCUGCUCCCCUCCGUUCCCUCUUGCUUCAGUCUCCACCUCCCAUCCACCACCUUCUUCUACGGCGUCGUUUCCCUCCCCUUCGCAUUUCCUAUCUCCUCUUUCACGUCUUACCGCUUCCUGAUUUUAUUAGUUUUUUAGUUAAGAGUUUUGUUAAUUGUUCUCGCUAAUGAGAAGACUUCCCUUAGCGAACGUAAAAGUUUUCUGCUUUAAAGACGCAAGAACUGACAAGUUUUAGCAUAGAGUUUCAGCUUUUUUCAUCUCAUAGCAGAGAGAGAGAAAGAGCUGGAGAGUUCUUUUUGUUUUUUGUUUCCUGGGGAGUGUUGACAAAAAACUGCGAUUAAAGCCAUUUUUGUUGGUUUUCACUUCAAACUUCCGUUGAAUUUUGAGUGAUUCCGGAGGUGGGUUUCUCAAUUUUCCCACUAUAAGGUUAGAAAUUUCGAUUUCGCUUCCUUUGGCAAUGCAGUCUCUGAAUUCUGGGGAGAAUAAGGGAUAGUGGUGAACAAGAUGAUGGAAAACAAAAGAAGCCCCUGCUCUGUUGACCAGGCCAGUCUUACUUCUCUUGCAAAUAAACGUCAUAAGGCUGAUCUUUCUAUCUCGACAAAGGAGAGGAAAGAGAAGCUAGGUGA
This 713-nucleotide unclassified non-coding RNA is filed under the name Hevea brasiliensis (rubber tree). The record is from RNAcentral. Lineage: Eukaryota; Viridiplantae; Streptophyta; Magnoliopsida; Malpighiales; Euphorbiaceae.